GGGGAAUAUUGGACAAUGGGGGAAACCCUGAUCCAGCGACGCCGCGUGAGUGAAGAAGUAUUUCGGUAUGUAAAGCUCUAUCAGCAGGGAAGAAAAUGACGGUACCUGACUAAGAAGCCCCGGCUAACUACGUGCCAGCAGCCGCGGUAAUACGUAGGGGGCAAGCGUUAUCCGGAUUUACUGGGUGUAAAGGGAGCGCAGACGGCAAUGCAAGUCUGAAGUGAAAGGCGUGGGCUCAACCCAUGAACUGCUUUGGAAACUGUAUAGCUUGAGUGUCGGAGGGGUAAGCGGAAUUCCUAGUGUAGCGGUGAAAUGCGUAGAUAUUAGGAGGAACACCGGAGGCGAAGGCGGCUUACUGGACGACAACUGACGUUGAGGCUCGAAGGCGUGGGGAGCAAACAGGAUUAGAUACCCUGGUAGUCCACGCAGUAAACGAUGAAUACUUGGUGUCGGGGAGGUAAACUCUUCGGUGCCGCAAGCUAACGCAUUAAGUAUUCCACCUGGGGAGUACGUUCGCAAGAAUG
Molecule: ribosomal RNA, 524 nt
Filed under: uncultured bacterium
Lineage: Bacteria
Description: bacterial SSU rRNA
Rfam family: Bacterial small subunit ribosomal RNA
Source: RNAcentral